CCAUGCCGCGUGAGUGAGAAGGCCUUCGGGUUGUAAAGCUCUUUCAGCAGGAACGAAAAGGUAGCGGUUAAUAACCGCUGCCGAUGACGGUACCUGAAGAAGAAGCACCGGCUAACUACGUGCCAGCAGCCGCGGUAAUACGUAGGGUGCGAGCGUUAAUCGGAAUUACUGGGCGUAAAGCGUGCGCAGGCGGUUUCUUAAGCCAGAUGUGAAAGCCCCGGGCUUAACCUGGGAAUUGCGUUUGGAACUGGGAGACUAGAGUGUGGCAGAGGGAGGUAGAAUUCCACGUGUAGCAGUGAAAUGCGUAGAGAUGUGGAGGAAUACCGAUGGCGAAGGCAGCCUCCUGGGCCAACACUGACGCUCAUGCACGAAAGCGUGGGGAGCAAACAGGAUUAGAUACCCUGGUAGUCCACGCCCUAAACGAUGUCAACUGGUUGUUGGAGGAGUUAAAUCCUUUAGUAACGAAGCUAACGCGUGAAGUUGACCGCCUGGGAAGUACGGCCGCAAGGUUA
RNAcentral lists this ribosomal RNA (512 nucleotides) under uncultured Pseudomonadota bacterium. RNAcentral describes it as "bacterial SSU rRNA". It matches the Rfam family "Bacterial small subunit ribosomal RNA", at positions 392 to 896 of the family's 1533-position model. Lineage: Bacteria; Pseudomonadati; Pseudomonadota. The record is from RNAcentral.